RNAcentral lists this ribosomal RNA (253 nucleotides) under uncultured bacterium. RNAcentral describes it as "partial 16S ribosomal RNA". It matches the Rfam family "Bacterial small subunit ribosomal RNA", at positions 524 to 776 of the family's 1533-position model. The record is from RNAcentral.
UACGUAGGGGGCUAGCGUUGUCCGGAAUCAUUGGGCGUAAAGCGUGCGCAGGCGGUGAUGUAAGACAGAUGUGAAAUCCCCGGGCUCAACCUGGGAACUGCAUUUGUGACUGCAUCGCUGGAGUACGGCAGAGGGGGAUGGAAUUCCGCGUGUAGCAGUGAAAUGCGUAGAUAUCAUAAGGAAGACCAGUGGCGAAGGCGAGUCUCUGGACAGUUACUGACGCUGAGGCACGAAGGCCAGGGGAGCAAACGGG